This 29-nucleotide non-coding RNA is filed under the name Mus musculus (house mouse). The record is from RNAcentral. Lineage: Eukaryota; Metazoa; Chordata; Mammalia; Rodentia; Muridae.
UCAGACACUGUGUUGCUUUGGCAGUUCCC